AGCAAUGAAUUGGCGUAUGUAAAUUUUAUGGGCGAUUGCAUAUGAUGGAUGAAGAGUUAGGACGUAUUAGAUGAUAUAAAGCGGUCUCUCACAGGUGAGAACUCAAAGUUACCUCUCCAGUCACGCCACAGAAAUUAGAAAGAUGGGGUUUACCCAACUGAUCUUGCUGCUGGUUCUAAUUGUGAUAUGCAUCGUUAUGGUCCAGGCCGACUACCCAAGGUUUCCUUACUAUGACUAUGAUUACGGAUUUCGUCGACCGUUUAGAGCAUGGCGUCGACGUCGCAUGAUGGAUGAGUUUUACGACGAUUUCUUUGACGAUUAAAGUAACCUGAACACAGUAGACUCGUCCUGCUGUGGACGCUUGGUGUGCUACCUGCGCUUUCAUAUGCAUUUUGUAUUAUCCUUAAUCAACAUAACAGUCACAAUUGGAAAUAAAAGAUUAAUUGUUGUUCA
Molecule: long non-coding RNA, 453 nt
Organism: Pecten maximus
Lineage: Eukaryota; Metazoa; Mollusca; Bivalvia; Pectinida; Pectinidae
Exons: 3
Source: RefSeq, a predicted model, not a curated record